GUGGUAUCAACACAGAGUACAAUGUGGUUGUAAUCACGUGAAAAGGGCUGCCUGAAACUGCGUGGUACAAGAAAGACCUAUGAAUUCGCAAGUUUUGACUUCUUCUUUUGUUAAUAACAAAAAACAAAUGUUUAGCUUGCAACUAAGUAAUGAGAAAUAUUUAAUGUUGAUUAAUCAAUGAAUGUUUGAUUUAACUUUAUGGUCAAUAUACAUAAAAUUGUUUUUACGUAAUAUUUCAUGUAAACAUGGUUUUCAUACUUUUCAUAAUUUUUGUACUAAAUACGGCCCAUCUUAACUGAAAAAGGAUUAAUUACUACAACAAAAUGCAUAUUGGUUGCACUAAAUCGGCGCACGCCGAGCACCUCA
This is a long non-coding RNA of Xenia sp. Carnegie-2017, 366 nucleotides long. RefSeq lists it as uncharacterized. The transcript has 3 exons. The record is from RefSeq and is a predicted model, not a curated record. Lineage: Eukaryota; Metazoa; Cnidaria; Anthozoa; Malacalcyonacea; Xeniidae.